UCUCCGUUGGUGAACCAGCGGAGGGAUCAUUACCGAGUUUACAACUCCCAAACCCCUGUGAACAUACCAUUUGUUGCCUCGGCGGUGCCUGCUUCGGCAGCCCGCCAGAGGACCCAAACCCUUGAUUUUAUGCAGUAUCUUCUGAGUAAAUGAUUAAAUAAAUCAAAACUUUCAACAACGGAUCUCUUGGUUCUGGCAUCGAUGAAGGACGCAGC
This 215-nucleotide unclassified non-coding RNA is filed under the name plant metagenome. RNAcentral's name for it is "partial contains small subunit ribosomal RNA, internal transcribed spacer 1, and 5.8S ribosomal RNA". The stretch from base 167 to 215 matches the Rfam family "5.8S ribosomal RNA", at positions 1 to 49 of the family's 154-position model. The record is from RNAcentral.